Molecule: long non-coding RNA, 264 nt
Filed under: Panax ginseng (ginseng)
Lineage: Eukaryota; Viridiplantae; Streptophyta; Magnoliopsida; Apiales; Araliaceae
Description: long non-coding RNA (PGIN_LNC018205)
Source: RNAcentral
AUUUGUAGUAGGUAUAUUUAUUAUGUGAGAGUAGGGCUGCCCAAAUGGCCCACAACCUGACCUGAAUCCAGCCUAGACCCGGCCUGAUCAAAGCCUGGAACAGUCAGGCCCAACCUGCAAGGCUACCAACAAACCAAAGAUUUUUAGUACAAAUCCGACCUAACCUAGCCUUUCAAAAAGCCUAAUCUGGCCUGACCUACAAGCUUGAUCCGGCCCAAGGUCAAGACUUGAAUUCAAGUCUCUCUUCUUAUGUUUUAAGAAAAC